RNAcentral lists this ribosomal RNA (253 nucleotides) under uncultured bacterium. RNAcentral's name for it is "partial 16S ribosomal RNA". It matches the Rfam family "Bacterial small subunit ribosomal RNA", at positions 524 to 776 of the family's 1533-position model. The record is from RNAcentral.
UACGAAGGGGGCUAGCGUUGCUCGGAAUGCCUGGGCGUAAAGGGCGCGUAGGCGGUUUGUACAGUCAGGUGUGAAAUUCCCGGGCUCAACCUGGGGGCUGCACUUGAUACGUAUGGACUGGAGUGGGGAAGAGGGUCGUGGAAUUCCCAGUGUAGAGGUGAAAUUCGUAGAUAUUGGGAAGAACACCGGUGGCGAAAGCGGCUCUCUGGCCCGGUUCUGACGCUGAGGCGCGAAAGCGUGGGGAGCAAACAGG